CAAUAGCGUAUAUUAAAGUUGUUGCAGUUAAAAAGCUCGUAGUUGGAUUUCGGGACGGGCCAGUUGGUCCGCCGCAAGGUGUGUUACUGACUGGUCUGUUCUUCUUCGCAAAGACUGCGUGUGCUCUUCGUUGCGUGUGCGUAGGAUUUACGACGUUUACUUUGAAAAAAUUAGAGUGUUCAAAGCAGGCUAUCGCUUGAAUACAUGAGCAUGGAAUAAUGGAAUAGGACUUUGGUCCUAUUUUGUUGGUUUCUAGGACCGAAGUAAUGAUUAAGAGGGACAAUUGGGGGCAUCCGUAUUUCGUUGUCAGAGGUGAAAUUCUUGGAUUUACGAAAGACGAACAACUGCGAAAGCACUUGCCAAGAGUGUUUUCAUUAA
RNAcentral lists this ribosomal RNA (378 nucleotides) under uncultured eukaryote. Its description in RNAcentral is "partial 18S ribosomal RNA". It matches the Rfam family "Eukaryotic small subunit ribosomal RNA", at positions 592 to 976 of the family's 1831-position model. The record is from RNAcentral.